This is a long non-coding RNA of Marmota monax (woodchuck), 4322 nucleotides long. RefSeq lists it as uncharacterized. Lineage: Eukaryota; Metazoa; Chordata; Mammalia; Rodentia; Sciuridae. The transcript is spliced from 3 exons. The record is from RefSeq and is a predicted model, not a curated record.
UUUAUUCCUUUAUAAUGUAUCCUUUCUUUAAAAAGUUUGGGACACCUUUCAAUGAUAACAUUAAUUUUUUAAGCAUCUAUACAAUUAAGUUAUAUUAUAAUGAGCAUCAAUUUACUUUGCAAAGAACUUCAACUUAUAUAUGAUUUGAUUCCUGCACAUUCCUCCUCUUUUAUUAUUAAUUUUGUGCAAAUUCCAGGUGUGAAUUCAUUUAUUCAUAGUAUUUAAUAUGUUUAAACGGUUUAGGCCUCUUUUGAAAAAAAUCCAUCAUCAUCCUUCAUAUCAACAGUAAUUCCUUAAUAUCAGUAAAUAUCCAGCCACAUUUUCCAACUUUCAAUUUUCUCAUAAAUACUACUUAUUUUUUUGUAAUUUUGAAUUUAGAUAAGUCUCAAGUAUGUUUUUCAUCUACAGUUCUCUUUCUACAAUCUUUUUUCUUUCAAUUUUAUUCAUUGGAAUUAUUAAUUUAUUUCAUAUCAACAACUUGCUUCAGUCUGUUUUGCUGAUUACAGCCUUGUGGUAGUGUUCACUUUUCUCUAGUUUCUUUUCUCAGUUUAGUAGUUAGCUCUAUGAGACUCUAUCAGAUUGAAAUGACUUUUUGGGCAUGAAUGUUUCAUGGUUCAUGAUGUGUUCUUCUAUUAGGUAUUCAUAAUGUCUGGUUUUCUCCCUUUUUGUGAUUCUAUCAGCUGCUGAUGAUCAAUGGAUUAAUUCAUGAUAAUUUUGAUUCUGAUAUGAUGAAUUGUUCUUGUAGAAUUACCAACAGUUAGGGGAAGAGGAAAUGCUGCUUGAAGCACGUUCAAAAGUUUAGAAGAAAUAGUAUUAAAUGCCAAAAUAUUUUCUUAACUAGAGAGAAACCUAGUAAGAAAAAAAAAGGAAGAAAAUAUGUUGGCUUUUAUCACUUUUUAUUUUCCUGAGCUUUUUUUCUUGAUGAGAGGUUGUGUUGUGGAAUUGCCAGCCAGGUCUUUGUCAUGAAACAGUUUCCAGUUUGUGUUCCGUGGUAUUGGACAAGUGGUCUUGAAUAAGUUAGUAUCACUGAGCCUCUCAGUUUUCUAGCUGUUAAAUGAUCAUACAAUGAAUGCAUGCACAUAACAACCUUAGACUUUUCUUCUGCUCCAGUUCCCAACAUAUAAGUAAAUAUACUAUGUGUUUUGGCAUAUUUUGAUGAAUUUAUAUUAUCUUUUGACUCUACAAGUUCUUCUGAUGUAAGGGAGAAAUGUGAUAUUAAUCCUAUUCUUGUGCAGACAAUAAAAAUUUAUGUUGUUUAGGAGAAGUAGGAAGAGGAAAUACUAUACCUUGCACUGAGCGAUUUUUCUCCCCAGAAUUGUUGUGGGAAAUGCCAGAAAUAGAGACAUUGCUCACAUAUUUAUCUGCAUAUGUCUGGAUUCAAUCAGUUUGUCAACAUCUUUGCUGUUUUUGAUGUCAGGCUUCUCAGUGACUGUGGAGCCUACAGUUCCAUGAAAAUCUGAUAAUGGAGCAGAGGACUGUGGUCUGGGGAGUUCAUUGUUUAUAGUUUCUAAGAGCUGGAGGAAAGGAAAGAUUGGAUCUGAAUAUUGUGUAAAUUCUGUUUACAGAAUUUGCAGUUUGUGGAACACCUUCACAACUUGUGUCUUGUCAUUUAAAGCAACCUUGUAAAGUAGUUGUUGCAAAGUCUGUAUUGUGUUUCAAAUUAUAGUUUAACCAACUCACAUACUGACUGGCUUUUGGCUAUUACUGACAAUUCUAUAUAAAGCUUCAAACAAGGAAGAGACAUUCUUUUCACCUCUCCCUGUCUACCCAUACAACUUUCAUGAUUCAUUCCUGUGUUGUAACUUGUUGCUCUUUUCCUUUAAAGUUUCUUUUACCAUCUGCUUAUUUCCUCCCCACUCCACUUCCUUGACUGUGCAUUCUAGUCCUUUCUUUCAUAUUUUUUAAUGAAUAAAUCUCCUUUUUGCCACUAUCCCUCAGACAUUCUCCUCAUGGAAAAUUUUCUUACAGUUUUUUUCUCAUUUGCCAAGUGUACACUACAGUACUAUAUGUACAGUAAGAAGUUAUUUUCAGAGCUUAGAUAAUCCUUUGUGUAUAUAUGAUUCAGAUCUUAAAGGAGGUUAUUUUCUAUACAGUUCAGAUGAGAAGUUGAUUUUUGUUUCAUUGUUUCCAUUUUUAAAAAAAGUUUUUGCCAGGAAGUUCUGCUAAUAAGUCUUAUUUGCUCUGGUGUACUAGUCUAGUAGUGUUUGCAUGUAGAUGUCUGUGGAUGACAGUUAUUGUAGCACUUUGGAAGUGCACUAAAAAUGUGCCACUAUCAAAUGUUUCUAUAUUGUGUGUGUGCUAGUACACGCACGCGUGCACACAAACACACAUACAUUUUAUAAGUGGUUGUAUUCAUUUAGUGAAAAAGUAGACAUACUUUAAAAAAAAACUUGGAGAAAUGCUUGGAAUUUCAUUGUGUUCACCCAUUCAAAGUUUUCUCUCUUUGCUUUGGAAAUAUUUGUACUCAUAAGAGAUAUUUCAAAAAUGUUAUUCAUUAAAACCUCUUAAAUAACCACUAUUUUUCAUGUCUAGCAAAUGAGUAUGUCAAGGACUAAGAUUAAUACACAAAUAAUAAAAGUCAAAUAAAUUGUUAAACAUGAAGAAAAUUUAAUGCUGUGACUACAUUUUUUAACUCCCUAAAUCAACUUCCUUCUAAAAAUUCAUAAUUAUAUUCUUUCCUAUUUAUUCCUUGAAUUUUCAAAGAUUAAAUGCUACUUUUAUUUUUUAAAUAAUUUGCUUUUUAAAAAAUUUUUAGUUGUAGAUGGACAUAAUAGCUUUGUUAAUUUAUCUUUAUGUGGUGCUGAGGCUCAAACCCAGUGCCUUACACAUACUAGGCGAGUACGCUACCACUGAGCCACAACAUCAGCCCUGUAAAUGCUACUUUUCUUAAAGAUAAUAAAUUUUAUUUGUACAUGGGUUUUAUUGAAGAAAUUUGUUCAAAUUGUUUAUCUUGGUUUACAGAGUGGUGCAGACCAGCAAUCAAAGCUGCUUGGGAGGCUGAGGCAGGACAGCAAGUUUGAGGCCAGCCUAAGCAACUUAGCCAGACCCUGUGUCAAAAUAAAUAUGAAGAGGCCUGGGAGUAUAGAUGAAUGGUAGAGAGCCCCUGGGUUUAUCCCUCAUACCCUCAAAAACCAAAAUUAACAAACCAACGAUUUAUCUUUCAACACCCUUUUCUAGAAAAAUACAGAAAACAACUUUGUGCUCUCAAGGUAUCCAUGACAGUAAAAUCCAUUUUGAUGCAUUUAUACAAGAAUGGAGUAUGUCUUAUUUUAAUUAGGAUCCCAGUCUUGUGGAUAUACAUGAUGUUUACAAAAUAGAGGAGGAAGAUAAUUUCAUGAUGACAUUUGGCUCAUGUGACAGAAGGAAACUGGCCACACAUGUGUUUGGAAAUCAUCUAGAAGAGAAAGCCCUAAAGGAAAUUCCAGUGAAUGGAGCAGCCACAGUUCAUCCCAGGUUAGUUUCAGCUUUAGUACAGCCACAGUGAGUACUUUCCUGUUGAAAGUGCCAACAUUAGUUAGUUAAUACCAACUCAAAUCAAGUCUUAGCACUUGCAAGUUGUAAGAAGAUUUAGCAUUUUUUUCCCUUAAAUUCACAUGCUAUUAUUUUGCACUUCUUGGAGCUCAUUAUUAAUUUUUAUUAUAAUUUAGCAGGAAUUUCAUCAAUUUUCAUAUUUUAUAAUAAUAGAAAAACUUAAAUAUUUUAUAGCCAUUUAAAAAUCCUUUUCACUAAAUCUUUUUUUUUUAUGGCAUAAGCACAUUUUCCUGUGUUAUCUGAGUAUGUCUCAAUCAUCUCUAUAUGUUGGAAGAAAUAAAAUCAGGGCUUUGUUAACAUUAUUUAGUUCAAAUUUUUAAUUAUAGCUUUGGAAUGUUGGCUACUUUGAAAAAGGUGUCAGUUAAGAAAACUUCCGCCAAUAUUCACAGAUCAAUGCUAGAACUCCUGAAAAAUAAUGAAUGAGGAAUGAGAAAUUUGGUAAGUUACAAAAAAGUGUAUGAUUUUGUGGUUUUAAAAUUAUCUCUUUAUAUUUAUCAAGUUUGUUACUAAAUAUAAUCUUAAAUAUUGAAUAAAGACAUAGAAGACUUUUAUUUAUUUAUUUAUUUAUUUAUUUUUGUGGUGCUGGGGAUUAGAACCCAGGGCCUUGUGUAUGCAAGAUAGGCACUCUAUCAACUGAGCUGUAUCCCCAACCUGUAGAAGACUUUUAAUUUCCAUGUAUUACAAAGUCAUCGACUGGAACUUUAAAAAAAUUAGCUACUGGGUAUUAUGUUUUAUUUUUAUAAAAGCCAUUAUAUAUAUAUGUAUAUAUAUAUAUACACAUAUAUAUAUAC